GAGCACCACAACUGGUGGAGCCUGCGGUUUAAUUGGAUUCAACGCCGGAAAUCUCACCGGAUAGGACAGCGGAAUGAUCGUCAGUCUGAUGGGCUUACGUGACCAGCUGAGAGGAGGUGCAUGGCCGUCGUCAGUUCGUACUGUGAAGCAUCCUGUUAAGUCAGGCAACGAGCGAGACCCACACCAACAAUUGCCAGCAUCAUCUCCGGAUGGAUGGGGACAUUGUUGGGACCGCCUCUGCGAAAGGGGAGGAAGGAAUGGGCAACGGUAGGUCAGCAUGCCCCGAAUUAUCCGGGCUACACGCGGGCUACAAUGGACGGGACAAUGGGUAUCGACACCGAGAGGUGAAGGCAAUCUCCUAACCCCGCCCUUAGUUAGGAUUGCGGGUUGCAACUCACCCGCAUGAAUCUGGAAUCCGUAGUAAUCGCGUUUCAAGAUAGCG
RNAcentral lists this ribosomal RNA (442 nucleotides) under uncultured bacterium. Its description in RNAcentral is "bacterial SSU rRNA". It matches the Rfam family "Archaeal small subunit ribosomal RNA", at positions 874 to 1315 of the family's 1478-position model. The record is from RNAcentral.